GGAGAGGUAUCGAAGCGGUCAUAACGGGGCUGACUCGAAAUCAGUUUGAGAUAACAUCUCACGUGGGUUCGAAUCCCACCCUCUCCGCCA
Molecule: transfer RNA, 90 nt
Filed under: Clostridiales bacterium
Lineage: Bacteria; Bacillati; Bacillota; Clostridia; Eubacteriales
Description: tRNA-Ser
Rfam family: tRNA
About the family: Transfer RNA (tRNA) molecules are approximately 80 nucleotides in length. Their secondary structure includes four short double-helical elements and three loops (D, anti-codon, and T loops).
Source: RNAcentral